Molecule: ribosomal RNA, 255 nt
Filed under: uncultured bacterium
Lineage: Bacteria
Description: partial small subunit ribosomal RNA
Rfam family: Bacterial small subunit ribosomal RNA
Source: RNAcentral
AGGACGAACGCUGGCGGCGUGCUUAACACAUGCAAGUCGAACGGUGAAGCCUUUCGGGGUGGAUCAGUGGCGAACGGGUGAGUAACACGUGAGCAAUCUGCCCUUGACUCUGGGAUAACUUCGGGAAACCGGAGCUAAUACCGGAUAUGACGCAUGGCCGCAUGGUCUGUGUGUGGAAAGAUUUAUUGGUCAGGGAUGAGCUCGCGGCCUAUCAGCUUGUUGGUGGGUAAUGGCCUACCAAGGCGACGACGGGUA